RNAcentral lists this ribosomal RNA (496 nucleotides) under uncultured bacterium. RNAcentral describes it as "partial 16S ribosomal RNA". It matches the Rfam family "Bacterial small subunit ribosomal RNA", at positions 29 to 507 of the family's 1533-position model. The record is from RNAcentral.
AUGAACGCUGGCGGCGUGCCUAAUACAUGCAAGUCGAGCGAACGGACGAGAAGCUUGCUUCUCUGAUGUUAGCGGCGGACGGGUGAGUAACACGUGGAUAACCUACCUAUAAGACUGGGAUAACUUCGGGAAACCGGAGCUAAUACCGGAUAAUAUUUUGAACCGCAUGGUUCAAAAGUAAAAGACGGUCUUUCUGUCACUUAUAGAUGGAUCCGCGCUGCAUUAGCUAGUUGGUAAGGUAACGGCUUACCAAGGCAACGAUGCAUAGCCGACCUGAGAGGGUGAUCGGCCACACUGGAACUGAGACACGGUCCAGACUCCUACGGGAGGCAGCAGUAGGGAAUCUUCCGCAAUGGGCGAAAGCCUGACGGAGCAACGCCGCGUGAGUGAUGAAGGUCUUCGGAUCGUAAAACUCUGUUAUUAGGGAAGAACAUAUGUGUAAGUAACUGUGCACAUCUUGACGGUACCUAAUCAGAAAGCCACGGCUAACUACGUG